This 503-nucleotide small RNA is filed under the name uncultured Entrophospora. RNAcentral's name for it is "SSU rRNA". It matches the Rfam family "Eukaryotic small subunit ribosomal RNA", at positions 569 to 1075 of the family's 1831-position model. Lineage: Eukaryota; Fungi; Glomeromycota; Glomeromycetes; Entrophosporales; Entrophosporaceae. The record is from RNAcentral.
AGCAGCCGCGGUAAUUCCAGCUCCAAUAGCGUAUAUUAAAGUUGUUGCAGUUAAAAAGCUCGUAGUUGAAUUUCGGGAUCAAUUGAUUGGUCAUGCCUACGGUAUGUACUAGUCAUAUUGGUUCUCACCUUCUAAUGAACCUUAAUGUCAUUCACUUGAUGUUUUGGGGAAUUAGGACUGUUACCUUGAAAAAAUUAGAGUGUUUAAAGCAGGCUUACGCUUGAAUACAUUAGCAUGGAAUAAUGAAAUAGGACAUCGCAUUCUAUUUUGUUGGUUUCUAGGAUCGAUGUAAUGAUUAAUAGGGAUAGUUGGGGGCAUUAGUAUUCAAUUGUCAGAGGUGAAAUUCUUGGAUUUAUUGAAGACUAACUACUGCGAAAGCAUUUGCCAAGGAUGUUUUCAUUAAUCAAGAACGAAAGUUAGGGGAUCGAAGACGAUCAGAUACCGUCGUAGUCUUAACCAUAAACUAUGCCGACUAGGGAUCGGAUGAUGUAAUUUUUAAAUGA